Molecule: non-coding RNA, 7388 nt
Organism: Nicotiana tabacum (common tobacco)
Lineage: Eukaryota; Viridiplantae; Streptophyta; Magnoliopsida; Solanales; Solanaceae
Source: RefSeq, a predicted model, not a curated record
UUUACCCUUCCAGCGAGGCUGAAAAUGCAAUUAGCUGGCUACAAACAAACAGACAGUUCUCUGCUCUCUUGUCUUGUAGGAGUAGCAGUAGGCUGUAACAAGGUUGGCGGUGGUAUGCUAAGUGAGGCACGUUUUCCAUCUCUUGGCUCUCUUUUCUCUCGAAUCCUCCGUUCUUCCCUCCACCACCACCGCCACCACCAACAACAACUAAGUUCAACAUCAAACCUACCAUUUUCUCUUUCACCUUAUCUGAUGUCGAUUUCCACCAAAAUCCCGCACCCUCUCCUCCAUCACCCUAAUUCUCCAUCCCUUAAUAAAGCCCUAAAACCCUCUUCUUCUUCUUUACAUUCUACACCCAAUAAAUUAACCUUCUUUAGAUCCAUUACUAUUGAAAAAAUCUCCACAAAAUCAAUUUUUGCUACUCCCACAAGUGCUUCUUCACAACCCUCAUCACCUCUCCAACCCAUUGAAGAGCUCCCACCGAAACUCCAAGAAAUCGUCAAACUCUUUCAAGCAGUCGAACAACCAAAGGCUAAAUACGAGCAACUCUUAUUUUACGGUAAAAAUUUAAACUCACUUGACGCAAAAUACAAGACCACUGAAAAUAAAGUUCAGGGUUGUGUUUCACAGGUUUGGGUUAGGGCUUAUUUUGAUUCGGAGAAAAAUGUGAUCUUUGAGGCUGAUUCUGAUUCGGUACUCACUAAAGGGCUUGCUGCUUUGUUGGUUCUGGGUCUAUCUGGUCGGCCCGUUGAAGAGAUUAUAAAAGUUUCACCUGAUUUUGCUGUCCUUUUAGGGCUGCAACAAAGCUUAACUCCUUCUAGGAAUAAUGGGUUUUUGAAUAUGUUGAAGCUGAUGCAGAAAAAGGCACUGCAGUUGUACGUUGAAGCUGAAAAGGCUGCUGAUUUAGGCCAUAGCGAAUCCUUAAAUGCCUCGAUUGAGGCUUCUUCGUUGGGCAGUGUUAAUGUUAAUGGAAAUGUUGAGUCUAGAGAGAGUACUGAUGUUAGUGGGAAUAAUGUGAGUGGUGGUGGUGGUGAUGAUGGUGUUUUGAGGAGUAGAGGGAUGAGAAUUAAAGAGAGGCUGGAGAAGGAACUUAGGCCUGUCGAAUUGGAAGUUGAAGAUAUAUCUUAUCAGCACGCAGGGCAUGCUGGGGUUAGAGGCAGUGACGGAGAGACACAUUUUAAUUUAAGAGUGGUUUCUAAGGAAUUUGAAGGGAAGAGUUUGGUUAAGAGGCAUAGGAUGAUUUAUGAUUUGCUGCAAGAUGAGUUGCAGAAUGGAUUACACGCGUUGUCAAUCGUGGCGAAGAUGCCCUCUGAACUCUGAAGUUGGUAGUAGAUGAAUUGAACGGCCGGCGUCUAGAGAGCCGGUAUAUCUUCCAUUGCCGGCCCAGUAGCUGGUUGUGACAUAGGAAAAAAUAUUACCGAUCACUUCUCCGUUUUUGAACAUGGCUCGACCUCUGGUGCAUCCUAUGACCAACACCAUACUGAGACAUCUGUCGUCACAAAUAAAGGUAUGUCAAAGUGAUCCUACAAAGUAAAAUGCUUCCACAUCUUGGUACUAAAAGGGACAGCUGAGGGGCUGCGAUAUCUUCAUGAGGGAGAUCAAAGAAUAACUAUCCACAGAGAUAUUAAGGCUGCAAAUAUAUUGCUUACUAAGGACUUUGAAUCUCAGAUUUGUGAUUUUGGCCUUGGCAAAUGGUUGCCAGAGUGAUGGACUCACCUCACUGUACCAAAAUUUGAAGGCACAUUUGAGUUAGUAUACUGUUGAGAGGAGAUUCAUAUGGGGUGGACUGCCUCAAACUUGAUUUUUAUUGUUGCUGGUGUAAAGGAAUCACAACAUUUCAAAAGAGAGCAAUUAGAGCAUGGAAUACAAACAAAGAGGGCUCGAGCGAGACAACAGAGACCACUGCUGUAAAUUAAUGCGAAUAAAGACAACUGAUCAGGUGAUAAGCCUACACAGCCAUUGUCACAGGAAAAAGCUUGUCAAGAAAGGUUUUGAAGCACCACCUUAAUCUGUCCUAAAAAUGAAAAUUCCUGGAAUUACUCGUCUCUGCAAUACCGUAAAGCACGUUAUGCUGAAGACAAACGACAACAUUGCUUGUGAGCCUGAGAUUUUUUGUUCUUCUACAUAGAGUCUGUUGGAAUGAGUAAUGAUACCAACAGUUCUGUUACUUUUCCACCGUCGAUAGUUUAAAGGUAUUUCUCUUAUUGAUUUGGAAUUUGACCCUAUGUAGGCUAAUAAGCAAUAUUUAUUCACUGUUAGGCUCAUGCUAUUCAAUGUAUUCUUGCUUUUUUGGUACUACUUUGAACAUUUUACGAGCUUGAAACACUGUCUUUCAUGCCGGUAGCUAAUGUAUUCAUUUUACCCCGAUUCAGAAAAUUACUUUAUCUUCUUCAGUUUCUUGCGAAUUCUCAUGUCUAAAUUCAGGAGAGAAACCACAGAGCAAAAAUAUGCUUAAUAUUUGUUACAAUCAACAAACAACUUUAGACUACAAAUUGUUGGGCCCAUGCGGAGCAUGGGCAACGUUAUCUAGUUUAUAUAGAAAAGGCUUGUUUGGUCGACCAACGGCAUAAAUGACAUUUGCUCUGCCAUUAAUUAUUUAAGUAUAAAACCGCUUUAUUUCCUUCACAAUAUAUCUGACACAAAUUCUAGAACUCUCCCUAUCUUUCUGAAGUACUACUCUCUUAGUAUAUCCGUUCUUCUUCUCUAAUUUCAGGUAAGUCCUCAAUUUUGAUUUAAUCUUCUUCUACUUUUCAAAAAUUUGUUGGUAUUACGAUGAAAAUAAUUGUUGCUGUUAUUAUUCAUUUUAACUUUCUCUUCUAUAUCCUCGUUCAUCCCAUAUUCUAAAGAAAAGUGAACUAGUGAAGGUCUUAUUUUGGGCAAAAUAGUUUCUAGGUCUUGUGCAAUUUCUCGAAUUUUAGACUGCUUUGCGAAUUUCUGGUUACUAUUCGGUAAAGAAUAACUGGUAUUGUGCAAGACUGCAUUUUAGGGAAACACAUGCUCCUAAAUUUCAUGUCACUAUCUUCAAAUAUCCGCUGCUAUUAAGGUAUCUCUUUUAGGCCUUGUUCUCUGGUAAUACGUUUAUUGCUCAACUUCAGAGUUCUCCUUCGCUUCUUACAAGUAUCAUCUCUCUAUUUUGGAGUGUUUCUCAACUCUCUUAUGUACUUUUUUCUGUUCUUCAGGCCUCUUAGUUAAUUUAAUGGUAAAUAUUUUUAGGAUUCUCACCUUAAGCUAUUCUUAAAUUAGAAAUCAAAAUCUAUAGUCUCUAGAUUUCUCAUAUAUUUUCAUUUAAACCCUAUAAAAAUUUAUCUUUAUUGGACACAUGUGACAUGCUAAAUCUUAUCCAAAAGAAUGAAAGUGGACGAUGAGCAGUUAAUGGAAGUGGUAUAGGUGAGCAUCACAAUGUUUGUAAUCUGUGCAAAGAUAUAAAUAUUCGUUGGCAUGUGUUCUUCUAUCUUUUAGUAUUAUAUGAAUGCGCAUGUGGCUGUGACUGUUUUAAACUAUUCUUUGUAUUUAAAGGAGUUACAUUUCCCAUGCACUUGGUGUAUCAUUAUGCUACCAUCAAACCAAGUGAUGUCCGGAAUCUUAGUGGUAGGUUUUUCAUUAAUUUGCAAAAUCUUGAUUAUUGGUGUUGUGGCUUACUAGAACGAUCAACAGUUGUAUUGGCAAUCCCCAUCACACCAAUGUUGCUUUCCUUGCCUUUUUUUUUUUUCUAAUGUAUUUAUCUAGGACUACCUCUAUUGCUUGUUUGCUUUCUUUCUUUCUUUCUUUCUUUCUUUCUUGUUCUCUGUUUUUUGUACAUUGGACCCAUAUUAUAGGUUGCUAAAUAUGUUAAGUUUGCUAAUGAAAUCUUUCAUGACUUCUUCUAAUGUCUUGUGGUGUAAUGCUAUCCAGAGGUGUGACAUAUACCUUGCUACAAGUCUAACCUCAUUGGGUUAUUAAACAUCAUAUAAUGACUUUUAGUUGAUUUCCGAAGACACACAUGCGACAAAUUUUGGAACUGAUUCUCUAUGUUGAAUAUGAACAUGUUAAUAUAGGAGUUUGUUCAUCAAUAUUGUAGUGACAUGGUUGAAAACACUGACCAUAUAGACAUUUUAAUCGGACAGCAUUUAACAAAUGUUUACAUUUAGCCAACUGUUAGUUUUGUUUACCGCAGUGUUUAAUUAACAUAUCAUCCCGAAAUGAAAUGGACUAAGCUCCCGGAUCAUGAGAAAAAAAGAAAAGUGCUUAUUGUUAGCUCUAGGUUUAAUCUUUUUUAUUUAGUGUCCGUUAUCUUUGAGACAUGAGAUGAUGUGAUCGUUAUAAAUGAGUUGCGAGUGUAUGCUGAAUUUCAUUAAAGUGCUCUUUAGCUUUAAUAUUUUUUUUGGUCUCCUUUAUCUUUUGACCCAUGAAAGGCUUUGGUCAUUUUAGCUGGAAUAUUUUUUAUUGCAGGCAUCAAGGAUGUCGCUAUAUUUAUUCCUGUAGAAUCAUGCUGAGAAAAGAGUUGCUAAGGUAAAUUUUGAAGCUUAGUUAAAUAAAAUUGGAAAUCUUUGUUUACUUUUUUAAGUUUCAAGAAGAAAUACGUAUUAUCUUUUCUGUUAUAUUAGGAAAUAGCUUAGGAUCCCAAAUGGAUAGCUGCACAUAUUCAUGCUAUCUGUUUUAACUAUUUUCUUGGUCUAUUUUAACUAUCAAUCUUCAAACAACACAUAAAGAGAGACUGGGCAUGCGAAGAAAUACAAGAACUGUGUAAUGUGUUUGUGCAAUAUUAAGAUGCUAGCUCAGUAAGAUGAUUCGAUAUUUGUUGUUUUUGUACUAAUAUAAUUAUGUUAUUUUAGUCACCAUGUGUCAUUCUACAAGCAAGACAUCAUGUAGUGUCUUUGUUUCAGGUCUUUAAUCAUAUUUGGAGGGUAAUUUAUUCCGUUUACCGCAUGUGAAAGUAAAUAUUGCUUUAAUUAUGGCUUCAUGCUGAUGCAAUGUAUAGUACUUCACAGUCCCGACCCUAUAAUAGUUUUUUUCAUAGAUUCAUUUGUAGAUUGCUCUUUUAUUAAAUUUUACUCUAACAGAAAAGUUAGCAUUCUUUCCGAUUUCUAAAAUAUUUAUUAUUGGUAGAUUUUAACUUUCUCUCAAUGCCUACAAAACCCUCGCCAUUUCAAAAUGAAAUAACUAAAUUUUGGAUAUGAUGCUACAAAUUAAGCAAAUAAACUAAGAUAUUCUGUAAUGUUUUUUUAUGUUUGUGUGUACACAACAACAUUUAAUAUUUAGAUACAAAUACCAAAUUUGCAUAUGAAGAAAAGAGUAGUACAUCCUGAAUCUUUGUAUUUGAGUGUGAAACAACUUCUGUCAUAAAACUUGAGGUUACGAAACCAUGAUUUGAUAGGAAUUCAGUUUAUAUUUCCCAAUUUAUAAGAAUUCUUAAUACCUGAAAGAAGAAAAAAAAUUUAUGCUUGAUUUCAAGAGUUUGUGUCCUCGCUCAUCUGAGGUAAAAUGCAGAUAGCAGCAAUCUAGGGAAAGCACUCUCAAUAAUAUUUGUGGCACUUUGCUUGACUGACUUACAAGUCUAAGGAGCAUUUCUCCUUGACUAUUGUUUUAAGCCUGUCUAUUAUUUUAAGCUCUUAGAUGCGAGGCAUUUUUCCUUGGUUUUACAAUAUUUUCCAAGUGUCUUUAAAUGAAUUCCAUUGAUAACUUUCUAUCCCCACAGGUGUCGAAGAACAUAACAGUCAUAGUUAUCUUCCUUAAAACUCUUUCUAUCGUCUUCUUUUCCCCCUUUGUAUCUUUUUCUCUUCUAGGAAAAGCAUUAAAAACACAAUUUUCAGUAUGACAUUGUCAGAAAAAUCCGUUUAGGGGAUGAUUACUCAUUAAAAAAUAGGAGAAAGUGCCUUUUCCUUAUUUUUUCUUGAAGGAGCUUAUCGUUGUCUAUUAUGUUUUUCUACCAUUCCUUGUUAUUUUGGUGCCUUUACAGAAAUGCUUUUAUUUCUGGAUCAGUUAUGCAUUGUGUGGUUUUCUUUUUAGCUCAACCGGAGAUUCGCUUCAUACUUCAUGAACACAAAUACGAUGUUGCUUGCGUUGUUGUUUAAUUUAUAAAUGAACUUAUGACUUCUUAAAAGAAAUUUAGUUGCCUAAAUUGGUUAACAAAGCAAGUACAAGAAAUUUUUGAUAGAUGCGGACUUGACAAAUGUAGGCAAAAUUUGCAGAAGACUGUAUUCCUAAAAUCUUCGGUCCUUCCUUUCAAUCAAACGAAGGAAAAAUUCUCUUUUAACUACUAUUUUCAAUUUUAUGCAAGCUGUAUUUGCAUCUCAUCCUUCUUGAAGUGCAGGGUUGAAAGCGGUUACAUAUUUUUUGCAUUCAUUCUGAAUUUUGACAAGUGCUUCUAUAUACUUGGCAUAACCUAGAGGUUUCUACAUCUAAUGUAAUGCUACCAAAGCUUCUUUCUUAUUCUUGCUUUUUAACUCCUUUCUUUUAUCUGCACUUUUUUGUCAUCUGAUUGGUCAUAUCAUGUUUCUCUUGUUUUAAUCGUCCCUCAUGCUUCUGGUCCUUUUUUUUCCAUAGAAAAGUAUUAUGUAUUUAUUUAUUUAUUCAACCUUUUAUCCUUUUCUACUAAGAAUUCUCUCUUUCAGUUCUACAGUAGUGACAAAUCUUCUAAAAUUUUUUUCUUUCAAACAUAAAAUGUAAAAGCAUUCUUACAUGGAAUUGUUGCUGAGAUGGAUUUUUUAAUCUAGAAUUACUUAUUGAUCUUAUUACGAGAAAUGGUUACAGAUUUAGAUGGAACCAUUGCUCGAUGCAAGAUUAAUUAGGGUAGGAGCUUGCUUUCAAGAGAAACUGCAGUAUAUGGAGAAUAGAAAGAACUUUCUCUCUUACACAAAUUCUUGAAGCAGUCCGCCCAUGUACGUAGUGAUGUAACAAACUUGAUUCUGUUAAAUGGAAUAGAAGUACCUAUGGUUUUUUCUCAGUUGUUGAAGUCCGUUCUUUUCAAAAAGUACUGGCGCAUAUGGAACAAGAACUUGGAGGUGUAUUUGGAAGAGCAAAACAGCACCAAAAUUAAUUUUCUUGGAGUGGACUACAUGUCAUAUGACCUAACUCGAGCAAACUUCCCACAUGCUGGUGAAAUCAUAUGCUUAAGAUGUUAGGUGUGCGUAGAGGAAGCUGAAGUCCAUUUGUUCUUCCAUGUGCCAUUGUUUCUUAGCUUUAUUGCAUGUUCUUGGAUUAUAGAAGUAAUCAUAGUUGGAUUGGCAAGAAAGUAAAGAACAUCUCAAAAAUGUGUGGAAUACAAUUUCGACCUACAUUUUUUAAGUAGUUUUAUGUGAAAUAAAACCCUGUAUUUACCUACCAAAAGAAAAUCGUAAAACUCCCUAAGAAUGUAUUGAACAAGUGACUAUAUUUUUUCAGGGAAGUUGACCCAUCACAUAUUUCCUACA